AUGGAUAAAGCAAGACUUGGAAACGGGGCAGCUGAAGAAGUGACUCGUGAAUCGCUUAUCGCCAUUUCUUACCUUGAACCAUAUAAGAUUCUCCCUUCAAAUCUCUCAUCUGGAAAGUUGAAUGGUGAAACUCUGGUUAAAACGAUUGAUUCUGAUCAAGAGAAAUUUAGAUAUGAGCUGAUGUCUAUUUCCUACUGUUCACCCCAAAAACGUCGCUUUGUAUUCUAG
This 228-nucleotide long non-coding RNA is filed under the name Prunus dulcis (almond). RNAcentral describes it as "sRNA ncRNA". Lineage: Eukaryota; Viridiplantae; Streptophyta; Magnoliopsida; Rosales; Rosaceae. The record is from RNAcentral.